Molecule: ribosomal RNA, 251 nt
Filed under: uncultured eukaryote
Lineage: Eukaryota
Description: partial 18S ribosomal RNA
Rfam family: Eukaryotic small subunit ribosomal RNA
Source: RNAcentral
UAUACUGUGAAACUGCGAAUGGCUCAUUAAAUCAGUUAUAGUUUAUUUGAUGGUACCUUACUACUCGGAUAACCGUAGUAAUUCUAGAGCUAAUACGUGCGCAAAUCCCGACUUCCGGAAGGGACGUAUUUAUUAUAUAAAAGGCCGACCGGGCUUGCCCGACUCGCGGUGAAUCAUGAUAACUUCACGAAUCGCAUGGCCUCCGCGCCGGCGAUGUUUCAUUCAAAUUUCUGCCCUAUCAACUUUCGAUG